CUUAACACAUACAAGUCGCACGGAGGGGCAACCCCUCAGUGGCGGACGGGUGAGUAACGCGUAGGUAUCUAUCCAUGGGUGGGGGAUAACAGCGGGAAACUGCUGCUAAUACCGCAUGACACCUGAGGGUCAAAGGCGCAAGUCGCCUGUGGAGGAGCCUUCGUCCGAUUAGCUAGUUGGUGGGGUAAAGGCCUACCAAGGCGACGAUCGGUAGCUGGUCUGAGAGGAUGAUCAGCCACACUGGGACUGAGACACGGCCCAGACUCC
RNAcentral lists this ribosomal RNA (267 nucleotides) under unidentified marine bacterioplankton. RNAcentral describes it as "partial 16S ribosomal RNA". It matches the Rfam family "Bacterial small subunit ribosomal RNA", at positions 47 to 339 of the family's 1533-position model. RNAcentral also lists the same sequence under 1 other name. The record is from RNAcentral.